GUCUUUGUCCAUGACACCCUGAACGUGCCAGAUCUCGUCUGAUCUCGGAAGCUAAGCAGGGUCGGGCCUGGUUAGUACUUGGAUGGGAGACAACCUAGGAAUACCAGGUGCUGUAGGCA
RNAcentral lists this ribosomal RNA (119 nucleotides) under Pteropus alecto (black flying fox). The record is from RNAcentral. Lineage: Eukaryota; Metazoa; Chordata; Mammalia; Chiroptera; Pteropodidae. RNAcentral also lists the same sequence under 1 other name.